AAUUUAACAUGCGCAAGAUGGUUAACGGGAACCUCGCGUGCCACCUCGCAAAUGUGGCGGUUUUCAGGCGUAAAAAACCUUGCAAAGCAAGGGCCGGGCAAGACCGGUGCCAGCCGCCGCGGAAACACCGGUGUCUUGAGUGGUAACCGUUAUUAUUGGGUUUAAAGGGUCUGUAGCCGGGUGGAUAAGUCUCUUGGUAAAUCUGGCAGAUCAACUGUCAGGAUUUCAGGAGAUACUGUUAGGCUUGAGACCGGGAGAGGUGAGAGGUACUUCAGGGGUAGGGGUGAAAUCCUGUAAUCCUUGAAGGACCACCAGUGGCGAAGGCGUCUCACCAGAACGGACCUGACGGCAAGGGACGAAAGCUAGGGGCGCGAACCGGAUUAGAUACCCGGGUAGUCCCAGCUGAAAACGAUCCUCAUACAUGUCU
RNAcentral lists this ribosomal RNA (427 nucleotides) under uncultured euryarchaeote. RNAcentral describes it as "bacterial SSU rRNA". It matches the Rfam family "Archaeal small subunit ribosomal RNA", at positions 349 to 776 of the family's 1478-position model. Lineage: Archaea; Methanobacteriati; Methanobacteriota. The record is from RNAcentral.